Molecule: ribosomal RNA, 265 nt
Filed under: uncultured bacterium
Lineage: Bacteria
Description: partial 16S ribosomal RNA
Rfam family: Bacterial small subunit ribosomal RNA
Source: RNAcentral
GUCCACGCCCUAAACGAUGACAACUAGUUGUUGGGGAUUUAACAUCCUUAGUAACGUAGCUAACGCGUGAAGUUGUCCGCCUGGGGAGUACGGUCGCAAGAUUAAAACUCAAAGGAAUUGACGGGGGCCCGCACAAGCGGUGGAUGAUGUGGUUUAAUUCGAUGCAACGCGUAAAACCUUACCUACCCUUGACAUGCUAGGAAGCCCGAUGAGAGUUGGGUGUGCCCGAAAGGGAACCUAGACACAGGUGCUGCAUGGCUGUCGU